ACACCGGCAGCUCAAGUGGUGGCCGUUUUUAUUGGGCCUAAAGCGUUCGUAGCCGGCCUGAUAAGUCUCUGGUGAAAUCCUGCAGCUUAACUGUGGGAAUUGCUGGAGAUACUAUCAGGCUUGAGGUCGGGAGAGGUUAGAGGUACUCCCAGGGUAGGGGUGAAAUCCUGUAAUCCUGGGAGGACCACCUGUGGCGAAGGCGUCUAACUGGAACGAACCUGACGGUGAGGAACGAAAGCCAGGGGCGCGAACCGGAUUAGAUACCCGGGUAGUCCUGGCCGUAAACGAUGUGGACUUGGUGUUGGGAUGGCUUCGAGCUGCUCCAGUGCCGAAGGGAAGCUGUUAAGUCCACCGCCUGGGAAGUACGGUCGCAAGACUGAA
Molecule: ribosomal RNA, 381 nt
Filed under: uncultured archaeon
Lineage: Archaea
Description: bacterial SSU rRNA
Rfam family: Archaeal small subunit ribosomal RNA
Source: RNAcentral